This 45-nucleotide non-coding RNA is filed under the name Schistosoma mansoni. Lineage: Eukaryota; Metazoa; Platyhelminthes; Trematoda; Strigeidida; Schistosomatidae. The record is from RNAcentral.
GUCCAGUUGACAAGUACCAAAUAGAACGAAACGUGCGUCCUGGAU